AAAUUAUCUUUAUUAUUUCAUUUUCUAUUAUUUUUAAUUUUCCCCCCAAUUUCUUAAAGUGGAAGCUAAAAUAAUUUAACUUAUACUUUUUCUUUUCUUAUAUUUUUAUUCCUUAUAUUAAGAAUGCAAUGCUAUAAUUUUCCUCUCUAAAGCACUACUUUAACUGCAUUCAAUGCCUUUUGAUAUAUAUUUUUAUUUUUAUUCACUUCAAAAUACGCCUGUUUCCUUUACCAUUACUUCUUUGACCCAUGAGUCAAAAUGUAUACUUAAUUUCAAAAGAAGUGUGUUACUUAAUUU
RNAcentral lists this long non-coding RNA (297 nucleotides) under Homo sapiens (human). RNAcentral's name for it is "HSALNT0121879". Lineage: Eukaryota; Metazoa; Chordata; Mammalia; Primates; Hominidae. The record is from RNAcentral.